CACGUAGGGCGCAAGCGUUGUCCGGAAUUAUUGGGCGUAAAGAGCUCGUAGGCGGCUUGUCGCGUCGAAUGUGAAAACUCGGGGCUCAACUCCGAGCUUGCAUUCGAUACGGGCAGGCUAGAGUUCGGUAGGGGAGACUGGAAUUCCUGGUGUAGCGGUGAAAUGUGCAGAUAUCAGGAGGAACACCGGUGGCGAAGGCGGGUCUCUGGGCCGAUGCUGACGCUGAGGAGCGAAAGCGUGGGGAGCGAACAGG
This 253-nucleotide ribosomal RNA is filed under the name uncultured bacterium. Its description in RNAcentral is "partial 16S ribosomal RNA". It matches the Rfam family "Bacterial small subunit ribosomal RNA", at positions 524 to 776 of the family's 1533-position model. The record is from RNAcentral.